CAAAAGAAGAGAUAACUAAUAACAUACAUAAUGACAGAAGAAUAUACAAACUCAAUACUGCACAGUGCAAGCGUAUUGUAUGUGGGUAGCUCUGCAGCCUUCUGUCGUUGUGUAGUGAGUGGGCCUCUCUAGUAGCUUCCAGAGCCAUUGAAGUUUCCGUGAUGGUUCUGUGCUUCUCCUCAGGUUGCGUUUGUACGUGGAUGCGAUGAGGAGAAGGGUCUAAUCUGUUUGUGCUUGAUGUCCCCAGCUCUGAAUAUUCUGUGGUACGAAUUCUCCCACCGAGUUGCUACCCUGAGUGCCCUUGUGCUUCAUCUUUUGCCGCCGUUCUCUUGUGAAAUACAAUCCAUGUGACCUGAGAUCAGAGGUGUCACAGCUCUACCGAGAGGAUCUGUAAGAUCUCUACCAUGCUUCCUUGUGGUGUUUGGAACUGGGAUGGCUGUAAAGGCACAAAACAUUCAGGGUGAAUUUCAGGGAAGGGUCUACCAAACACUGGGUGUCUUCACAUCCCUCCAGAUGUUCUUUGUGCCAUUGAUGAGGGAAAGUAAGAGUACGUGAAGGCCUGGGGCAUGGACAGAGUGGGUUUUCUUGUUGGGGCAUGUUCUUGUGGUGGAACAAUGACUGGAUAUUAUUGCAGAUAUCCUCUGCAUGGUCUGGAUUAGGGCCUUUGUUACGUCAGGGAUGAUGUUGUGCACGAUGUGUCUUCCCUGAGGAAAUGGAGAUGUUGUGCAGAACAUGGCCUCUGUAAUUGGUGAAGAACUGGAGAAUAUCUAUUUAGCUGAAUAUAUCAAUCCCCAGGGCUUGUGACAGAUGUGUGCAGUAGGAAACCUUGAGAAGAAGGGGAAGAUGCCCAGGCAGAGAGUUGUUUGUCUAGGGCCUUCUCAGGAUCUCUGAAAGUUCUGCAUACCUUAAAGAGCUGUUUUCCUUUGUGGUGUUACCACUUGUGAAGACAUCAGCCACACAUGCCUUUAAAUACUUGGUUUUGGGUUGGAAUGAUAUCACUCAUAAAGAAACCUUUAAGAAGUUUGUUAGUGCUCGGUGGUUGCUCCCUUUCUGGACUUUUGCCCUCCACCCCAAAUAUCUUGGCUUCCUUCUGGCCCCUGGGUCCAUUGUUUCCAACGGUCUGGACAUGUGCUUUUGGGAACUGGGUGAGUCCACAAAGACUUUGUACUCAGGGCGCGGCUGAUGCUUCAGAAGUUUGAUGGAGCCUUGACAUCUGGGUUUUUGUAGAAGUUCCCUUAGGUCUUUCUCUGGGGCUAAGGAAUAAAAGGAUUGCUUUAUAGAGCAGGCCUUAUCUCCCAGAGGUGAGGUUUGGUGUUGGGGGUGUGAGAUGUCCUGCUUUAGAAUAAAUCACUGGUGAUUUCUAUGAGAGGUGCGACUGCUGUGGAGCAGUGUCUGGGUGUUGUGGCAGUGAUGCUGCUAGUGGCAUUGAUCAGGGCCUGUUCAUGCAUCAUGUGGAGGGCGACUUGCAGAAGAGAAAAGUCUUGCCUGAUGGAAAUGAAGAUGUUGGGUGGAACAUGGUCUGUGUCAUCGGGGAAGAGCUGGGAAAUGACCGCUAAUCAUUUCCCACUGUGUGUCUGUCAUGGUUUUGCUCCUAGACAAGACCUGAGUGCCACAAGGCCACUUGCUCACUCCUUUGCCCUCCCCUUUACCUGUUGGAAUGUAGAGGAGAAAGGGAAAGAAAAAUGUGUAACUCGUGGGUUGGGAUAAAGUCAGUUUAAUAGAACAGCAAAGACAGAGAAAAAUAACAAUAACAAUGAUCAAAAGAUAUACAAAAUUAUUAAUACAGUGUGCAAAUGUGUUGUAAGGGAAUUGCUCCCUUUCUGGACUUUGGCCCUCCACCCCAAAUAUCUUGGCUUCUUUCUGCCCCCUGGGUCCAUUGUUUCCCACGGUCUGAGCAUGUGCUUUUGGGAACCGGGGUUUUGUUCCACCACAAGGCCACUUUCUCACUCCCCCCCUUCCCGUUGCCUGUUGGAAUGUAGAGGAGAAUGGGAAAGAAGAAUGAGAGAAUAGGAAAGAGGAAAGAAGAAUGGGAGAAUGGGAAAGAAGAAACUCGUGGGUUGCGAUAAAGACAGUUUAAUAGAACAGCAAAGAAACAGAAAAAUAACAAUAAUAAUGAUCAAAAAAUAUACAAAAUUAUUAAUACACUGUUCAAAUGCAUUGUAAGUGAGUAGCACUUCAGCUUUCAGUUGUUGUAUAGUGGGUAGGCAUCUCUAGUAGCUUCCAGAGCCAUUGAAGUUGCUGUGAUGGUUCCUUGCUCCUCCUCAGGUGGGGUUUGUAAUUGGAUGUGAGGAGAAGUUGAUCUUAAUCUGUUUGUGCUUGGUGUCCCUUACCUGUGCACUUGCACCACUGGCCUCACUAGACAUGAUGUGUCCCUUUGUCAUGCUUAGCUCGCAUACAUGCUUGAACAGCCCAGAUCCUUCAGUGCAGCCUUGCUUUGGGUUUUCUUUAGUACAAGUUCUCCCACAAAGGUCACAUUGGUAGUGCUGUUGCAUUUCAUCAUUUGCCAUUGUUUUCUUGCAAAACUGAAUCCGUGUGGCCUGAGAUUGGAGCUGUCACAGCUCUACUGACAGGAUCUGUAAGAUUUCUACUGUAAGAAAUCUUUUUGUGCUGUAAAGGCACAAAACAUUAAGGUAAACUUCAGGGAAGAGUCUGCCAGACACUGUGUGUCUUUACAUGCCUCCAGAUGUUCUUUGUGCCAUUGAUGAGGGAAGGUAAGAGUAUGUUAAGGCCUGGGUCAUGGACAGAGUGGGUUUUCUUGUUGGGGUGUGUUCUUGUGGUGGAAGAAUGAGUGGAUAUUAUUGCAGAGAUCCCCUGACUGGUCUUGAUUCGGGCCUGUGUCACGUGAAGGAUGACAUUGAGCAGGGAGGAGUCUUCCCUGAGGAAAUGGAGAUGUACAGAACGUGGACAGUGUAACUGGUGAAGAAGUGGAGAAUAUCUCCUUAGCUGGACGUAUGCUUCAGCAGGGCUUGGGGUGGACAUUUCCAGUAGAAAGCCUUGGGGAAGAUGCCUAGUGCGGAGAGUUGUUUGCCUGCUGUCUUCUCAGGAUCUCUGGGAGUUCUGCAUGUCUCAGAGAGCUGUUUUUCUUUGUGAUUUUACUGCUUGCGAAGACAUCAGCCACAUAUCCCUUUAAUCCCUUGGUUUUAAGGUGGAAUGUUGUCAGUCAAAGACAAAUCUUAAUGAAUAUUUUCACUGCUGCUGAGAUUCUCCGACCCUCUCCUUGGGUACCUUUCUGCUCUUGAUCUUGCUAGGGAAGGAGCAGAAGUGCUCUUUGUACUCAAGUUGCUGGGAAGCCUUGCAUUUCAAUACCGUGUCCUGGAUGCCUUUGCUUUUCUUCUUUAGUCUUAGCAAAAACUCCUACCCCUUUGGGUUUUCCUUCUCUCUGCUUGGCAAUAUCUUGUUAAUACUGGAUGAGCUGCAGAGGUCAGAGUUUUGGCAGCUGUGAGGUUGUAGAGGUUUGGGCGUCUGGCCAUCAUUGUUGGCUUUUCCCCUCUCUGGAGCUGAGGCUGAUGUUGAGAGAAUGUCCUUAGCUUUCAUGGCUGCCUCUUGCUUCCCUUGUGGUAGAAGAUCCUAAGGGAUCACGACACACUGUUCGGUGAUUUCAAAGCUUUUGGAGAAUGACAGUAAUGUCUUUCUGCCCAGUUUCACUAGAAAUCAUGGAUAAUGUUAAGGGAAAAUAUCUCUUGGACCCAAUUUUGCUGUCCUGAAACUGUUCCCUUUUCUGAAGAAGCAGCCAGGGAUACUACAGGAAUCCUGUGAGGUGAUGGCAGAAGGACAGAUGGGAGAGGGACUCCAGUGACUUUCUCGGAGUGGAUACAUUGAGCAUCGCUGGGAUGAUCUCAUCCAAAAUUCCGUGGCUUUCCCGUUGUCUCUUUUGUUUGGCUGAGUGCAGUGUGGCUCCUGCUGAUGGAAGAGAGAAUUAUUCCGUGAGGACUAAUGCUCCCGGGCACCCAGGUUCUGGCUGUGAUGUGCCGGCAGUGCAUGCCUGCCCACAGGAAGAAGCAAGAGCUUGACAUUUGGUGUGCAGGUGGAAGGAACAUGCUCUGCCUCAAGGUUUCUGGAGUUUGGAAGCUGUGGGUACCCCGUGCUUUUUUAUCCUUGCCGGAGGAUUGAUGUGUUGAGCUGUGAUAGGUGUGAUUUCGCAACUGAAAUAUCCCCCAUGUGUUGUCUGGACUUUUUGGAGUGUGUUUUAUUAAACGUCCAAGUGGCUGGUGCUUGGUCUUGUGUUUGUGUUGGUGGUGGGUUUUGUCCAGUGUAGCAGAGCUUUGCCAUGUGAUGGCCUUGCUCUGAUAUUUUCUGUGUCCCUGAGAGGCCUGGAGGCUGAAGAUCUUGGCUUUCUUUCAAAAGGGAAGGAGUGGUGCGGCAGCAGUUUGUCUUGCCUAGACUGGAGGACAGGAGAAAUGUUUUUUCCCUUGCGGGGAGGUGGAAUGCAGUAGGGAAGAAGAAUGAAAGCUCUUGCCCAAGGGCAUGUCCGUGCUUCAUGUCAAACGUGUUACAGACAUGUAAAAUACAUUGGUGGAGGCCGAAAGGAAAGAAGAGACAAGUGUGGAAGCAGAAGUAAAGGGGAAGUAAAAGUUGGGCAGGGUCACAAAAGGAGGGUGAAGGUGAAAAAAAAGAUGAAAGAAAGAGAAAUGGAGAAGAAAAGCAGGGACUGCAAGGAAAAUGCAAACAAGGAAGAAACAAAGAAGGAAGGAAAAGAAAGGAAGGCAGGAAGAGCUGGUAGAGGAGAUUCCGAGCUUCAUUAACAUUCUCUUAUAAAGUGAAUGGAGCUGAGGAUCUCGGCAUCCUCGGCACUCUGGGCCGGUGUGCAAGGCUUGACGGAAAGUGGUGACGAAGAGGAAGGAGGUUUUGUCAAAGGCACACGGCGGGUGUGAUGGGAUCCUAGAGAAAGCGUGGUGGGAAAGCAGCGAAAGCAGAUGUAAAAAUGGAAGAAGGGAAAGAAAAGGGUUGGGGCAGAAGAGGUAAGAGAAGAGAGACAACAGAAAGAAAAUCAAACCCGAACGAAGCAAACGAUGUGGAGAAAGAUGGAGGGAUAAACGAUUUUACUGCAACGGCACGGAAACAGAGAGGUGAGGGACUGGAGAGGUCACGGGAAAAGAAAAAGAGAAAACAAGCAAAGAAACAGAACUUAAAAUAAAAAUGAAAAAGCGAGACAGAAAUGACUAAGAAAGUAAUUACAAAAGGAAGAUGAGAAGGUAGAGAAAGAAAGGAAGAAACGAUAAAGGAAAAGACCAGGGUGCAAAGAGGUUUUCUACAGUCGCUGAAUGGACUUGGUCCUUAAUAGCCUCCCCUUUGUUCAGAGUAUCCGUAAUUAGCGCUGCUGCUCAGUAAUUAGCACCUACGGCUGGGACUUUAACGGUCUCUGCUGCGGCGCCGGAGGGGACUGGGGAGCUGCCAUGGGGGUGAAGAAGAGAGAGGGAUGGAAGGGAAAGGGGAAGCGGAGUGAAGACUCAUGGACGGCAGGGCAAGAAAGGAACUUGAGAAGAAGGAGAAAAGGAAAAGGGAAAGAUAGAAUGCGGUGGGAGAGUAAGGAAGACAAGAGAGUAGACAACGAAAACCUUGCACAAAGAAAAGGAAAAAGAAAGACGGAAAGAAAGAAAUCUAUGGAAGGAAAAGGACGGCGGGGUCGGUGGCAUGGAGCAUGCGAGGCUUUGUAGAAGAAAGAAAGGAUAAAGGAGAUUACUGGGACGCACCGACAUUGCCUCUAUUUGGUGAAAGGAGAUGGUUCCUAACAGCCUCGCUUUAGGUCGGAGUCCAGCGACCCGUAAUUAGCGAUAGUCCUCCGUAAUUCGCUGAUGGCUCUGCCUUUGAUCAUCUCCGCCGGAGGCUACUGGGGAGCUGCCAGCGGGAGAAAGAAGGAUGGAAGGAAAGGGGACUUAAGACUCAUGGAAGGCAGGGCAAGAAGGGAACAGGAAAAGGAUGAGAAAAUAAAAAGGGAAAGAGAGAAUGCGGUGAGAGAGGAAGGAAGACAAGAAAGUAGAAAAGGAAAACGUUGCAACGAGAAAGGGAAAAGGAAAGAAAGGAAUGUAUGGAAGGAAAAGGAGCGGGGCGCAGGUGGCAUGGAGGGUGUGAGGCUUGGGAGAAGAAAGAAAUUAUAAAGGAGAUUACUGGGACGCACCGACAUUACCUCUGUCCAGUGAACGGAGAUGGUCCCUAACUGCCUCGAUUUAGGUCGGAGUCCAGCUACCCGUAAUUAGCGAUGACGCCCAGUAAUUAUCGCUGAUGGCUCUGUCUUUGAUCAUCUCCACAGCGGCGCCGGAGGCGACUGUCGAGCAGUGA
RNA transcript from Cuculus canorus (common cuckoo), 6276 nucleotides. It is a transcript of the gene named protocadherin alpha-2-like, with no coding region annotated. The record is from RefSeq and is a predicted model, not a curated record. The transcript is spliced from 2 exons. NCBI's taxonomy places the organism in Eukaryota, Metazoa, Chordata, Aves, Cuculiformes, Cuculidae.